AUUGAACGCUGGCGGCAUGCCUUACACAUGCAAGUCGAACGGCAGCGGGGGAGAAGCUUGCUUUUCCUGCCGGCGAGUGGCGAACGGGUGAGUAAUACAUCGGAACGUGCCCUGUAGUGGGGGAUAACUAGUCGAAAGAUUAGCUAAUACCGCAUACGACCUGAGGGUGAAAGUGGGGGACCGCAAGGCCUCAUGCUAUAGGAGCGGCCGAUGUCUGAUUAGCUAGUUGGUGGGGGAAAGGCCUACCAAGGCGACGAUCAGUAGCUGGUCUGAGAGGACGAUCAGCCACACUGGGAGUGGGACACGGCCCAGACUCCUACGGGAGGCAGCAGUGGGGAAUUUUGGACAAUGGGCGAAAGCCUGAUCCAGCAAUGCCGCGUGUGUGAAGAAGGCCUUCGGGUUGUAAAGCCCUUUUGUCCGGAAAGAAAUGGCUCUGGUUAAUACCUGGGGUCGAUGACGGUACCGGAAGAAUAAGGACCGGCUAACUACGUGCCAGCCGCCGCAGUAA
RNAcentral lists this ribosomal RNA (508 nucleotides) under uncultured bacterium. RNAcentral describes it as "partial 16S ribosomal RNA". It matches the Rfam family "Bacterial small subunit ribosomal RNA", at positions 30 to 523 of the family's 1533-position model. The record is from RNAcentral.